RNAcentral lists this ribosomal RNA (406 nucleotides) under uncultured bacterium. RNAcentral's name for it is "bacterial SSU rRNA". It matches the Rfam family "Bacterial small subunit ribosomal RNA", at positions 355 to 775 of the family's 1533-position model. The record is from RNAcentral.
UAGGGAAUAUUGCACAAUGGAGGAAACUCUGAUGCAGCGACGCCGCGUGAGUGACGAAGGCCUUCGGGUCGUAAAGCUCUGUUCUCAGGGAAAAAGCAAGUGAUUGUACCUGAGAAGAAAGGACCGGCUAACUUCGUGCCAGCAGCCGCGGUAAGACGAGGGGUCCAAGCGUUGUUCGGAAUUAUUGGGCGUAAAGCGGGUGUAGGCGGCUCUAUAAGUCAGAAGUGAAAGCCCCGGGCUUAACCUGGGAAGUGCUUUUGAUACUGCAGAGCUUGAAUGUGGGAGAGGGUAGUGGAAUUCCAGGUGUAGUGGUGAAAUACGUAGAUAUCUGGAGGAACACCGGUGGCGAAGGCGGCUACCUGGCCCAACAUUGACGCUGAGACCCGAAAGCAUGGGGAUCAAACAG